This 1357-nucleotide ribosomal RNA is filed under the name Dolichoplana striata. RNAcentral's name for it is "SSU rRNA". It matches the Rfam family "Eukaryotic small subunit ribosomal RNA", at positions 153 to 1683 of the family's 1831-position model. The record is from RNAcentral. Lineage: Eukaryota; Metazoa; Platyhelminthes; Tricladida; Geoplanidae.
UAAUUCUAGAGCUAAUAUUUCAAAGAAUGCCGUGACUUCGGAAGCGGCGGAUUUAUUAGUAUCAAAACCAACCUACUGGCAACAGUGGUUCAUUGAUGACUCUGGAUAACUUUACUGAUCGUACGACCUUGUGUUGACGACGUAUCUCUUGAAGUGACUGACCUAUCAACUUUCGAUGGUAAGAUCAAAGCUUACCAUGGUUAUAACGGGUAACGGGGAAUCAGUGUUCGAUUCCGGAGAGGGAGCCUGAGAAACGGCUACCACAUCCACGGAAGGCAGCAGGCGCGUAAAUUACCCAAUACCGGUUCGGUGAGGUAGUGACGAAAAAUAACAAUAUGGGCCCUAGUGGUUUCAUAAUUGCAAUGAGAACAUUUUAAAUACUUUAUCAAGUAUCAAUUGGAGUAUAUUGUCGAUGUUCUUUAUUUGGAUGUCGAUAAUAACCGGCAAGUUUACUUUGAAAAAAUUAGAGUGCUUAAAGCAGGCUUUAUGCUUGUAUAUUGUUGCAUGGAAUAAUGAAAUAGGACUUCGGUUUUAUUUUGUUGGUUUUCUUAACCGUAGUAAUGAUUAAAAGAGACUGCCGGGGGCAUAUGUAUGCUGGUGUUAGAGGUGAAAUUCUUAGAUCAUCAGCAGACAAACUACUGCGAAAGCAUUUGCCAAGAAUGUUUUCAUUAAUCAAGAACGAAAGUCAGAGGAUCGAAGACGAUCAGAUACCGUCCUAGUUCUGACCAUAAACUAUGCCAACUGACAGUUAGCUAGGUAAUUAUAAUUAUCCUUGCUAGAAGUCACCGGGAAACCUAAGUCUAUGGGUUCCGGGGGAAGUAUGGUUGCAAAGCUGAAACUUAAAGGAAUUGACGGAAGGGCACCACCAGGAGUGGAGCCUGCGGCUUAAUUUGACUCAACACGGGGAAUCUCACCCGGUCCGGACACUGUGAGGAUUGACAGAUUGAUAGCUCUUUCAUGAUUUGGUGGGUGGUGGUGCAUGGCCGUUCUUAGUUGGUGGAGCGAUUUGUCUGGUUAAUUCCGAUAACGAACGAGACUCUAACCUGCUAACUAGUAUAUUUGUGUAUAUAUAGCAAAUAUGACUUCUUAGAGGAAUUAAUAGUGUUUAACUAAAUGAAAUUGAGCAAUAACAGGUCUGUGAUGCCCUUAGAUGUCCGGGGCCGCACGCGGGCUACAAUGGCAGUAUCAGCGAGUAUUUUUCCUGGCUAGAAAUGGUUGGGUAACCUCGUGAAACACUGUCGUAUUCGGAAUAGUGGCUUGAAAUUUUUCCACUUGAACGAGGAAUUCCUAGUAAGUGCAAGUCAUCAACUUGCGCUGAUUACGUCCCUGCCCUUUGUACACACCGCCCGUCGCUACU